GACGAACGCUGGCGGCGUGCCUAAUACAUGCAAGUCGAACGAGAGCGACCGGUGCUUGCACUGGUCAAUCUAGUGGCGAACGGGUGAGUAACACGUGGGUAACCUGCCCUUCAGAGGGGGAUAACAUCCGGAAACGGAUGCUAAAACCGCAUAGGUCUUCGAACCGCAUGGUUUGAAGAGGAAAAGAGGCGCAAGCUUCUGCUGAUGGAUGGACCCGCGGUGCAUUAGCUAGUUGGUGAGGUAACGGCUCACCAAGGCCGUGAUGCAUAGCCGACCUGAGAGGGUGAUCGGCCACAUUGGGACUGAGACACGGCCCAAACUCCUACGGGAGGCAGCAGUAGGGAAUCUUCCGCAAUGGACGCAAGUCUGACGGAGCAACGCCGCGUGAGUGAAGAAGGUUUUCGGAUCGUAAAACUCUGUUGUUAGAGAAGAACAAGUGCUAGAGUAACUGUUAGCGCCUUGACGGUAUCUAAACAGAAAGCCACGGCUAACUACGUG
Molecule: ribosomal RNA, 498 nt
Filed under: uncultured bacterium
Lineage: Bacteria
Description: partial 16S ribosomal RNA
Rfam family: Bacterial small subunit ribosomal RNA
Source: RNAcentral